This 492-nucleotide ribosomal RNA is filed under the name uncultured bacterium. RNAcentral describes it as "partial 16S ribosomal RNA". It matches the Rfam family "Bacterial small subunit ribosomal RNA", at positions 29 to 507 of the family's 1533-position model. The record is from RNAcentral.
AGUGAACGCUGGCGGUGGGCCUAACACAUGCAAGUCGAACGGCAGCACAGUAAGAGCUUGCUCUUACGGGUGGCGAGUGGCGGACGGGUGAGGAAUACAUCGGAAUCUACUUUUUCGUGGGGGAUAACGUAGGGAAACUUACGCUAAUACCGCAUACGACCUACGGGUGAAAGCAGGGAAUCUUCGGACCUUGCGCGAUUGAAUGAGCCGAUGUCGGAUUAGCUAGUUGGCGGGGUAAAGGCCCACCAAGGCGACGAUCCGUAGCUGGUCUGAGAGGAUGAUCAGCCACACUGGAACUGAGACACGGUCCAGACUCCUACGGGAGGCAGCAGUGGGGAAUAUUGGACAAUGGGCGCAAGCCUGAUCCAGCCAUACCGCGUGGGUGAAGAAGGCCUUCGGGUUGUAAGGCCCUUUUGUUGGGAAAGAAAAGCAGCAGGUUAAUACCCCGCUGUUCUGACGGUACCCAAAGAAUAAGCACCGGCUAACUUCGUG